GAUGAACGCUAGCGGCAGGCUUAACACAUGCAAGUCGAGGGGCAGCGCGGGAUAGCAAUAUCCUGGCGGCGACCGGCGGAAGGGUGCGUAACGCGUGAGCGACAUGCCCGUUGCCCGGGGACAACCGGUGGAAACGCCGACUAAUCCCCGAUGGGAUACGAUGCUUCAUGGCAUUGUAUUGAAAGUUACGGCGGCGACGGAUUGGCUCGCGUCCGAUUAGCUGGUUGGCGGGGUAACGGCCCACCCAGGCUGCGAUCGGUAGGGGUUCUGCGAGGAAGGCCCCCCACAAUGGGACUGAGACACGGCCCAUACGCCUACGGGAGGCAGCAGUGAGGAAUAUUGGUCAAUGGGCGGAAGCCUGAACCAGCCAUGCCGCGUGCGGGAAGGAGGCCCUAUGGGCUGUGAACCGCUUUUGCCUGGGGGCAAUAAGGGCGUCGCGCACGUCCGAUGAGAGUACCAGGCGAAUAAGCAUCGGCUAACUCCGUG
Molecule: ribosomal RNA, 486 nt
Filed under: uncultured bacterium
Lineage: Bacteria
Description: partial 16S ribosomal RNA
Rfam family: Bacterial small subunit ribosomal RNA
Source: RNAcentral